CUCCCUAACGCGUAGUCAACCUAACCUAUGGACGGGAAUAACCUCGGGAAACUGAGUAUAAUGCCCGAUAGAACAUUAUGCCUGGAAUGGUUUAUGUUCCAAAUGAUUUAUCGCCGUAGGAUGGGACUGCGGCCUAUCAGUUUGUUGGUGAGGUAAUGGCCCACCAAGACUAUUACAGGUACGGGCUCUGAGAGGAGUAGCCCGGAGAUGGGUACUGAGACACGGACCCAGGCCCUAUGGGGCGCAGCAGGCGAGAAAACUUUGCAAUGUGCGAAAGCACGACAAGGUUAAUCCGAGUGGUUUCUGCUAAAGGAACCUUUUGUCGGUCCUAGAAACACCGAUGAAUAAGGGGUGGGCAAGUUCUGGUGUCAGCCGCCGCGGUAAAACCAGCACCUCAAGUGGUCAGGAUGAUUAUUGGGCCUAAAGCAUCCGUAGCCGG
RNAcentral lists this ribosomal RNA (439 nucleotides) under uncultured crenarchaeote. RNAcentral describes it as "bacterial SSU rRNA". It matches the Rfam family "Archaeal small subunit ribosomal RNA", at positions 89 to 528 of the family's 1478-position model. The record is from RNAcentral. Lineage: Archaea; Thermoproteati; Thermoproteota.